CUUUUGUGAUAUGCCUCUAUCUUAAUGAUGUUCUUGUUCCAGCUGAAGUCACUGAUGAAUUCUUUUCACUGUCUGAUAGUACUUCCAGGCUAUUUCGGUGUUUUUAAUAAUUAGAACACUCUGGUUAUGGAAGAUUCCUGACAAUUCUUAGCUCCAAGGAACAAUCCUUUAUUUUAGCAGUGCUGUUUGCCGUAACAGAUACACCAAUUAAGUAUGAGAAAGGGUAAAACCAGCACCUCAGUUAGGUCAUGUUUAAUCCUAUUUUACAGCCACUUUUUGCUAUAAAGACACAGGCCUUGGAGUGGAAUGUAUUGAUCUCUAUAUGGAGGUCAGUGCAUGAAAAAAAAAAAUAUUAACACUGCAAAGAGCCACCCAAAAAACUAGCCAACACCAGAGUGAAGGUCCAUGGUCUCAAUGCAGUUUAACAUCCUUUGGUGCAAACAUUGCAGUCAUGUAAAAUGCCAUAGGACUGGGGCUUCUCUCACUGCGUGAGACCUGUGAAUGAGACCACUUUCCUCACCUUGAGUCCUAUCCCAGUUCUUCUCACCUUCCUCCAGAUAUGACAUUUUACUGCCUCCCACCUCCUCAUCCUCCAAGCUGUAGCAAGGUGUUCUGGCACUUAAUUCUCUUCUCCCUCCUUCCCCUAACUGGAUCCUCCCAGUUACUGCUUCUAUCUGUUGCUCACCAGCUGCCAUGGACCCCUCAGCACAGGAGAUCUCAGAGCACUACUGGACACCCUUGCCAGCAUGGCUGUGGCAUUUUUUGCCACCAAUCACAGUACUUCUUUCAUUGCUCCUGCUAUGGACUUGCUUUACCCAUUUGCUCCCUCUCCAGCAGGCUCAGCUCUUGGCACUGUGCGUUCAAUUGAGUUUCCUUCAACCCAACCUGGGCAUAGUGAUGGGUUACUGCAAGGAGGAAAGAGAACAUCAUUGCUCGUGGCUCUGCUAGUUGACUUUGACCAUGAUACAGCAAAACUGCUCCACAGCUGCAGAGAAGACUGAACGGAGCUUGGGCUAGAUGUAGUGUCAGAUUCAGUGGCAAGAUUUGGGAAGGUGAAAAACUGAAGUGCAUUAACACUCCAGGCUAUGCUGCUGUUAAAAUUAAGCAGGAUUUUUCCCAUAUGCGCUCUUCAAGUGUGAUGUCCAAACAUGCCAAGAAGUGUUUUUAUGAGCAGGUACUCAUGUGAAGGUGGAAGGAAAACACUGGAGAAGACAACACUUCUCAAUAUGUUUGGUAUCUUCAUAACCAUUUAAAGUGAUGCCAGUUGGGGCUGCAGCUAUAGAGGCUCUUCACUUGCAGGAGAAAGGUAGAUGGUAGGUUGGUAUACUGUUCCACGCAGUUCUAUACAGUAUAUUGUGGGAGAGAACAAGACCAAGUGAUUUUACUGCUAUGUUCAAUCACUCAGAAUAGUGUUUCUAAGCAAUAGCAAUUGUGUUAUACUUCUUUUUCACUUUACAUGUACAAGUUUUGAGAAGCAGAUACUAGCUAGAGAAGCAACAGAAAUAUGCAGGGAUAUACACAAGUAUUCCCCCAUAAAUGAGGCAACUGUUAAAACAUAAAUAGCUGUCUUGUGUGAAUCUGAAAAACUGCGUGUAUGGAGUAAAUUACCAUGUGCAUGAAAAAAGAAACAAAAACAUUGCAAUGGGCAAAAUUAGAAUGGCUUGGUUCUUUUACUGUGUUUGCAUGCUGUUCUACUUCAAAUCACUUAAGUCAAUAGAGAGAAAAGCUUUUGGGACUACUGGAUCUAUAAUACAAUAAAUAAAAAUACAACAUGACUCUAAAAUUUACCCAAGUAUGUGGAAUAGAUAAGCAACAUCCUAUCUUCAGCGAGAUUCUUCUUAACUUCCUUCUUUAUUUUUUAAUUUGGAAUCAAUAGCUAUACAUAUAAUGACAUUUGAAGAAUUAAGUUGUUGAAGGUAAUAUUAUAACCCAGAGCCAUUUUCUUAGAUGACAGUCAAAUUAAUUGGGAAAGAAAGAGCCUGUUUACCUUACACAGAGCCUUUAACAUCAUGGCAGCAUAUAGGUGUUAUUAAAUUGCACUUAUAUCCAUGUAAUGCUACACUUUCAGAGCAAGCAAAGCCUAUUACUUUAUUUUUUCCCACCUGUGUUUCCUUGCUUAUAGUCUUUUCUACUCAUUUAUUUCUGUCUGCAGGCUUUUAUAUUCAGUUCAGUGAAACAUGUAAAAUAUAGUAUUAUGACAGCUGCAAAAGAAUAUCAAAACCCUAAAUUUUAUCAAACUCAGCAUAAUCAUUAAAUUUUUGUUUGCCUAAAGAAGACAUAGUAGGGGAAAAAAUGAGAGGCAAAGCCAGUAAAGGCUGUCACACUAAGUGAAUGAGGAGUCUAAUAAUUUUCUCUUCACUCACCAAAAUGGAGGUCUAUUAAUAUUUCCAUGUAACACUUAUCUGUAGUGUUUUGCAGAGGACUAUGUUUUUAUAAUACAUAAACGAAUGAGAUUUCUCAGUAGACCUAUUUAGUAUUUCCUAUCAAUAACCACAUUACCAGAUUUACAAGGGAUUGUAAUACAAUUCUUCUAUUUGCUAGGGACACUUAUUAAGUAUUGAUAAGCUUUACAGUUUCACUCAGAUGCUACUACAUUUCUAAGUACUUUUCCAGAUCUGUUACUUUGAAUAGUAUCUUUCAUGUUUUACUUGUGACAAGUUCCAUCAGCAAUGGAACUUUCAUGCAGCAGUUUCCACAGAGUUUUUUCCUGCUUAAGCACAUGUAAAACAAAAUGCACACAGAUGCCUUUAUAAAUAAAGCAUAUAUACUCUGAACUGUAAAGUGAGACACAAAACAAGUCAGUCUUACGUAGCGAUUUAGUUCCAAUAACCUAUGUCAUGCCAUCCGUUACUUUUGGAAAAUAAGGUUUUUUAACCUAAGCUAUAAAAUCUAAUUAUGUCUUCAAAUCUGAAAGAAAUCACUCAUUGCCCUGACACAUUUUGACUAGAAAUCAUCCCUAAUAAUGUUAAUGAUUUGCAAGGAUGGACUGAAUGAGGAUGCUUUCAUUAUGUAGUAACAAAACCCUGUGAAAACAGCAUUGGGAGAGUAGUGCAAUGUACUGCCAUUCAAGUCUUUUUCUCCUCUGGAUUAUCCAUUGCCGAGGGUGGGGAAAAUGCGGAACUUGGAUAGGAGUAGAACAGCUCAGCUUGAUGGAGCCAUGGGAAGCUGUGUGCACCCCAUUCACCCACCCCAGUACUCAGCCCUAAGAACCCCCCAGACUCCACUAGAGCCCCCAAGUUCCUUCCAGUGCUCCAAACAGACCUGUGCUACCCAGUACCUCCCCGAUGAACAUAGCACCCCCUGAAG
This is a long non-coding RNA of Pezoporus flaviventris, 3306 nucleotides long. RefSeq lists it as uncharacterized. The record is from RefSeq and is a predicted model, not a curated record. The transcript has 4 exons. Lineage: Eukaryota; Metazoa; Chordata; Aves; Psittaciformes; Psittacidae.